AGUGAACGCUGGCGGUAGGCCUAACACAUGCAAGUCGAACGGCAGCACAGUAAGAGCUUGCUCUUACGGGUGGCGAGUGGCGGACGGGUGAGGAAUACAUCGGAAUCUACUUUUUCGUGGGGGAUAACGUAGGGAAACUUACGCUAAUACCGCAUACGACCUACGGGUGAAAGCAGGGGAUCUUCGGACCUUGCGCGAUUGAAUGAGCCGAUGCCGGAUUAGCUAGUUGGCGGGGUAAAGGCCCACCAAGGCAACGAUCCGUAGCUGGUCUGAGAGGAUGAUCAGCCACACUGGAACUGAGACACGGUCCAGACUCCUACGGGAGGCAGCAGUGGGGAAUAUUGGACAAUGGGCGCAAGCCUGAUCCAGCCAUACCGCGUGGGUGAAGAAGGCCUUCGGGUUGUAAAGCCCUUUUGUUGGGAAAGAAAAGCAGCAGAUUAAUACCCCGCUGUUCUGACGGUACCCAAAGAAUAAGCACCGGCUAACUUCGUG
This 492-nucleotide ribosomal RNA is filed under the name uncultured bacterium. RNAcentral's name for it is "partial 16S ribosomal RNA". It matches the Rfam family "Bacterial small subunit ribosomal RNA", at positions 29 to 507 of the family's 1533-position model. The record is from RNAcentral.